RNAcentral lists this ribosomal RNA (84 nucleotides) under uncultured bacterium. RNAcentral describes it as "partial 16S ribosomal RNA". The record is from RNAcentral.
UCACGAAAAGUGGGUUGUACUAGAAGUCUGCAGGCUGACCCGCAAGGGAGGCAGCGGCCCAAGGUAUGACUCAUGAUUGGGGUG